RNAcentral lists this ribosomal RNA (263 nucleotides) under uncultured bacterium. RNAcentral's name for it is "partial 16S ribosomal RNA". It matches the Rfam family "Bacterial small subunit ribosomal RNA", at positions 793 to 1055 of the family's 1533-position model. The record is from RNAcentral.
GUCCUUGCCGUAAACGAUGUAUACUUGGUGUAGCUGGGCUCAACCCUAGCUGUGCCGGAGCUAACGCGUUAAGUAUACCGCCUGGGGAGUACGCUCGCAAGGGUGAAACUCAAAAGAAUUGACGGGGACCCGCACAAGCAGUGGAGCAUGUGGUUUAAUUCGAUGCAACGCGAAGAACCUUACCCAGACUUGACAUGCAGUGGACAGUACCAGAAAUGGUAUCUCCCUUCGGGGCCGCUGCACAGGUGCUGCAUGGCUGUCGU